GGACAAAGGUGUUCUCAGCAUCAGGAAAGGUGACCAAUAACUCACCCUUGUCAUUUCGCAUUUCGAACUUAUCAACAGCACUAACCUGCUUGCGGAGCUCCUGAUACAUACCCAGUUGGUCUAAGAUACGAAGGCCAUGCGGUUGGAAUCCGAUGCUGGCACCAACCUGGGGUGCAAUCUCUGGAUACGCUUCGAGCACGAGGAAGUCAAUGCCAUGCUUCUGAAGCAUAUUGGCCAGGGCUAGACCAGCGAUUCCUCCUCCUACUAUGAGAACCCGGAAUUUCUUUUUGUUCUCCAUCUCUCCUGGGGUUAGUUUUGCCCGGGUUCGCCCAGUUGCUUGUCCAGGCGGAGGAACUCACAGAGCAACAGUUGUUAUUGAGAUAAGAU
Molecule: small RNA, 387 nt
Filed under: Histoplasma capsulatum
Lineage: Eukaryota; Fungi; Ascomycota; Eurotiomycetes; Onygenales; Ajellomycetaceae
Also listed under: 1 other name
Description: hypothetical RNA
Source: RNAcentral